UAGGAAAUGAAGAAACCACAAUUCACCCUA
This 30-nucleotide non-coding RNA is filed under the name Rattus norvegicus (Norway rat). Lineage: Eukaryota; Metazoa; Chordata; Mammalia; Rodentia; Muridae. The record is from RNAcentral.